This 253-nucleotide ribosomal RNA is filed under the name Sphingomonas daechungensis. Its description in RNAcentral is "partial 16S ribosomal RNA". It matches the Rfam family "Bacterial small subunit ribosomal RNA", at positions 524 to 776 of the family's 1533-position model. RNAcentral also lists the same sequence under 3 other names. Lineage: Bacteria; Pseudomonadati; Pseudomonadota; Alphaproteobacteria; Sphingomonadales; Sphingomonadaceae. The record is from RNAcentral.
UACGGAGGGGGCUAGCGUUGUUCGGAAUUACUGGGCGUAAAGCGCACGUAGGCGGCUUUGUAAGUUAGAGGUGAAAGCCCAGGGCUCAACCCUGGAAUUGCCUUUAAGACUGCAUCGCUUGAACAUCGGAGAGGUAAGUGGAAUUCCGAGUGUAGAGGUGAAAUUCGUAGAUAUUCGGAAGAACACCAGUGGCGAAGGCGACUUACUGGACGAUUGUUGACGCUGAGGUGCGAAAGCGUGGGGAGCAAACAGG